GACGAACGCUGGCGGCGUGCCUAAUACAUGCAAGUCGAGCGAAGUUUUUCUGGUGCUUGCACUAGAAAAACUUAGCGGCGAACGGGUGAGUAACACGUAAAGAACCUGCCUCAUAGACUGGGACAACUAUUGGAAACGAUAGCUAAUACCGGAUAACAGCAUUAACUGCAUGGUUGAUGUUUGAAAGUUGGUUUUGCUAACACUAUGAGAUGGCUUUGCGGUGCAUUAGCUAGUUGGUGGGGUAAAGGCCUACCAAGGCGACGAUGCAUAGCCGACCUGAGAGGGUGAUCGGCCACACUGGGACUGAGACACGGCCCAGACUCCUACGGGAGGCAGCAGUAGGGAAUCUUCCGCAAUGGGCGAAAGCCUGACGGAGCAACGCCGCGUGAGUGAAGAAGGAUUUCGGUUCGUAAAGCUCUGUUGUUAGGGAAGAAUGAUUGUGUAGUAACUAUACACAGUAGAGACGGUACCUAACCAGAAAGCCACGGCUAACUACGUGCCAGCAGCCGCGGUAAUACGUAGGUGGCAAGCGUUGUCCGGAAUUAUUGGGCGUAAAGCGCGCGCAGGUGGUUUAAUAAGUCUGAUGUGAAAGCCCACGGCUCAACCGUGGAGGGUCAUUGGAAACUGUUAAACUUGAGUGCAGGAGAGAAAAGUGGAAUUCCUAGUGUAGCGGUGAAAUGCGUAGAGAUUAGGAGGAACACCAGUGGGCGAAGGCGGCUUUUUGGCCUGUAACUGACACUGAGGCGCGAAAGCGUGGGGAGCAAACAGG
Molecule: ribosomal RNA, 769 nt
Filed under: uncultured bacterium
Lineage: Bacteria
Description: bacterial SSU rRNA
Rfam family: Bacterial small subunit ribosomal RNA
Source: RNAcentral